AGAGUUUGAUCAUGGCUCAGGAUGAACGUUGGCGGCGUGCCUAACACAUGCAAGUCGAACGGAAGUAGCAAUACUUUAGUGGCGCACGGGUGAGUAACACGUAGCUUAUCUGCCUCAGAGAGUGGGAUAACCCCGCGAAAGCGGGACUAAUACCGCAUAAGCUCACGGACUACAGAGGUCUGCGAGAAAAGGAGCAAUCCGCUUUGAGAGGAGGCUGCGGCCCAUCAGCUAGUUGGCGAGGUAACGGCUCACCAAGGCAACGACGGGUAGGGGACCUGAGAGGGUGACCCCCCACACUGGGACUGAGACACGGCCCAGACUCCUACGGGAGGCAGCAGUGAGGAAUAUUGCACAAUGGGCGCAAGCCUGAUGCAGCGACGCCGCGUGGGUGAAGAAGGUUUUCGGAUCGUAAAACCCUUUUCUGUGUGACGAGCAAGGACGGUAGCACAUGAAUA
This 455-nucleotide ribosomal RNA is filed under the name uncultured Proteiniphilum sp. Its description in RNAcentral is "bacterial SSU rRNA". It matches the Rfam family "Bacterial small subunit ribosomal RNA", at positions 8 to 488 of the family's 1533-position model. The record is from RNAcentral. Lineage: Bacteria; Pseudomonadati; Bacteroidota; Bacteroidia; Bacteroidales; Dysgonomonadaceae.